This 490-nucleotide ribosomal RNA is filed under the name uncultured bacterium. Its description in RNAcentral is "partial 16S ribosomal RNA". It matches the Rfam family "Bacterial small subunit ribosomal RNA", at positions 30 to 507 of the family's 1533-position model. The record is from RNAcentral.
AUUGAACGCUGGCGGCAGGCCUAACACAUGCAAGUCGAACGGUAACAGGAAACAGCUUGCUGUUUCGCUGACGAGUGGCGGACGGGUGAGUAAUGUCUGGGAAACUGCCUGAUGGAGGGGGAUAACUACUGGAAACGGUAGCUAAUACCGCAUAACGUUGCAAGACCAAAGAGGGGGACCUUCGGGCCUCUUGCCAUCGGAUGCGCCCAGAUGGGAUUAGCUAGUAGGUGGGGUAACGGCUCACCUAGGCGACGAUCCCUAGCUGGUCUGAGAGGAUGACCAGCCACACUGGAACUGAGACACGGUCCAGACUCCUACGGGAGGCAGCAGUGGGGAAUAUUGCACAAUGGGCGCAAGCCUGAUGCAGCCAUGCCGCGUGUAUGAAGAAGGCCUUCGGGUUGUAAAGUACUUUCAGCGGGGAGGAAGGGAGUAAAGUUAAUACCUUUACUCAUUGACGUUACCCGCAGAAGAAGCACCGGCUAACUCCGUG